CUGAAUUUUGAUAUAUGUUGAUACUAUUUAGUGUUAAAUAUAAAAAUGUUUAAACACCGUUCUCUAAAAGCUUAAGCUUUUAGAGUACAACGGUUGUUUCACAUGGUAUCAGAGCAGGAGGUCCUGAGUUCGAGUCACGCCAGGCUCCUAGCAUAUUAAUUUCCUCCCAUUUAAUUCAAGCCCACGUCAUGGACCGAUUAAAAAGUUUCGAGCCCAGACGUGAGGGGGAGUGUUAAAUAUAAAAAUGUUUAAACACCGUUCUCUAAAAGCUUAAGCUUUUAGAGUACAACGGUUGUUUC
This 299-nucleotide long non-coding RNA is filed under the name Ananas comosus (pineapple). RNAcentral describes it as "long non-coding RNA (ACOM_LNC039076)". The record is from RNAcentral. Lineage: Eukaryota; Viridiplantae; Streptophyta; Magnoliopsida; Poales; Bromeliaceae.